CCAGUGCUGUUAGAAGAGGGCUGAGAGCAGGGAGAGCUCUCUUCUGCAGCACUGACU
RNAcentral lists this microRNA precursor (57 nucleotides) under Mus musculus (house mouse). RNAcentral's name for it is "Mmu-Mir-1960_pre stem-loop". Lineage: Eukaryota; Metazoa; Chordata; Mammalia; Rodentia; Muridae. The record is from RNAcentral.